Molecule: ribosomal RNA, 374 nt
Filed under: uncultured bacterium
Lineage: Bacteria
Description: bacterial SSU rRNA
Rfam family: Bacterial small subunit ribosomal RNA
Source: RNAcentral
UACGUAGGGUGCGAGCGUUAAUCGGAAUUACUGGGCGUAAAGCGUGCGCAGGCGGUUUUGUAAGACAGGCGUGAAAUCCCCGGGCUUAACCUGGGAACUGCGCUUGUGACUGCAAGGCUAGAGUACGGCAGAGGGGGGUGGAAUUCCACGUGUAGCAGUGAAAUGCGUAGAGAUGUGGAGGAACACCAAUGGCGAAGGCAGCCCCCUGGGUCGAUACUGACGCUCAUGCACGAAAGCGUGGGUAGCAAACAGGAUUAGAUACCCUGGUAGUCCACGCCCUAAACUAUGUCAACUAGGUGUUGGGUGGGUAAAACCAUUUAGUACCGUAGCUAACGCGUGAAGUUGACCGCCUGGGGAGUACGGCCGCAAGGUUA